CGUCACCUGCGGUGUUCGACAGUGAGUCGGGUUACCUCUCGACCGUAAUUGAAACGCCCAGGGAUAUCUGCCUUAACGGCACAGCUGUGCAAGUCCGCCAUGAGCGGAAAGCCUUACUGGUCGUGGCGCGUCCCACCUGUUGCUCUGGUUCGAGAGCAACGAUUUGCACCGGCAUCUGCGGGUGACGC
RNAcentral lists this non-coding RNA (188 nucleotides) under Pseudomonadales bacterium. Its description in RNAcentral is "6S RNA". It matches the Rfam family "6S / SsrS RNA". From Rfam's summary of the family: E. coli 6S RNA was the first non coding RNA to be sequenced, but its function was unknown until recently. It consists of 184 nucleotides that fold into an extended hairpin structure with a large single-stranded internal bulge. Lineage: Bacteria; Pseudomonadati; Pseudomonadota; Gammaproteobacteria; Pseudomonadales. The record is from RNAcentral.